CGGGAUAGCUCAGCUGGUAGAGCAGAGGACUGAAAAUCCUCGUGUCGCCAGUUCAAACCUGGUUCCCGAUA
RNAcentral lists this transfer RNA (71 nucleotides) under Pyrola rotundifolia. Its description in RNAcentral is "tRNA-Phe". It matches the Rfam family "tRNA". Rfam says of the family: Transfer RNA (tRNA) molecules are approximately 80 nucleotides in length. Their secondary structure includes four short double-helical elements and three loops (D, anti-codon, and T loops). The record is from RNAcentral. Lineage: Eukaryota; Viridiplantae; Streptophyta; Magnoliopsida; Ericales; Ericaceae.